GUAGGUGGCAAGCGUUGUCCGGAAUUAUUGGGCGUAAAGCGCGCGCAGGCGGUUCUUUAAGUCUGAUGUGAAAGCCCACGGCUCAACCGUGGAGGGUCAUUGGAAACUGGAGAACUUGAGUACAGAAGAGGAAAGCGGAAUUCCACGUGUAGCGGUGAAAUGCGUAGAGAUGUGGAGGAACACCAGUGGCGAAGGCGGCUUUCUGGUCUAUAACUGACGCUGAGGCGCGAAAGCGUGGGGAGCAAACAGGAUUAGAUACCCUGGUAGUCCACGCCGUAAACGAUGAGUGCUAAGUGUUAGGGGGGUUUCCGCCCCCCUUAGUGCUGCAGCUAACGCAUUAAGCACUCCGCCUGGGAGUACGGCCGCAAGGCUG
This 373-nucleotide ribosomal RNA is filed under the name uncultured organism. RNAcentral describes it as "partial 16S ribosomal RNA". It matches the Rfam family "Bacterial small subunit ribosomal RNA", at positions 527 to 896 of the family's 1533-position model. The record is from RNAcentral.